GGAUCAAUGGAUUGGUCAUGCCGAUGGUAUGUACUGGUCAUAUUGGUUCUCACCUUCUAAGGAACCAUAAUGUCAUUUAUUUGAUGUUGUGGGGAAUUAGGACUGUUACCUUGAAAAAAUUAGAGUGUUUAAAGCAGGCUAACGCUUGAAUACAUUAGCAUGGAAUAAUGAAAUAGGACAUCGCAUUCUAUUUUGUUGGUUUCUAGGAUCGAUGUA
This 216-nucleotide ribosomal RNA is filed under the name uncultured Septoglomus. RNAcentral describes it as "partial small subunit ribosomal RNA". The stretch from base 47 to 216 matches the Rfam family "Eukaryotic small subunit ribosomal RNA", at positions 693 to 864 of the family's 1831-position model. The record is from RNAcentral. Lineage: Eukaryota; Fungi; Glomeromycota; Glomeromycetes; Glomerales; Glomeraceae.